UGAAUACGAGACGCUAAGGCGUUGAAGUAGUGUAUGUCAUACUUCCAAGAAAAGCUUGCACUGUCAUAGAUAAAAAACGCCUGUACCAUAACCGACACAGGUGGGUAGGUAGAGUAUACUAAGGGGCGCGAGAUAACUCUCUCUAAGGAACUCGGCAAAAUAACUCCGUAACUUCGGGAGAAGGAGUGCCUUAUUUAUAAGGCUGCAAUAACAAGAUCCAAGCAACUGUUUAUCAAAAACACAGGUCUCCGCUAAGUCGUAAGACGAUGUAUGGGGGCUGACGCCUGCCCAGUGCCAGAAGGUUAAAGAAGUUGGUUAGCAAUAGCGAAGCUGAUAACUGAAGCCCUGGUGAACGGCGGCCGUAACUAUAACGGUCCUAAGGUAGCGAAAUUCCUUGUCGGGUAAGUUCCGACCCGCACGAAAGGCGUAAUGAUUUGGAUACUGUCUCGGAGAGGGGCUCGGUGAAAUAGACUUGUCUGUGAAGAUGCGGACUACCUGCACCAGGACAGAAAGACCCUAUGAAGCUUUACUGUAACUUGAAAUUGAAAUUGGACUUUAUUCGCGCAGUAUAGGUGGGAGGCGUUGAUUGUAAUCUUGCGGGAUUAUUGGAGCCAUCAGUGAGAUACCACCCUUGUAAUGUUAGAUUUCUAACUUUGAAUCAUUAUCUGGUCAAAGAACAGUUUCAGGCGGGCAGUUUGACUGGGGCGGUCGCCUCCUAAACGGUAACGGAGGCGUACAAAGGUUUCCUCUGAACGGUUAGAAAUCGUAUCUAGAGUGUAAAGGCAUAAGGAAGCUUGACUGUGAGACCUACAAGUCGAGCAGGGACGAAAGUCGGUCUUAGUGAUCUGACGGUACUGAGUGGAAAGGCCGUCACUCAACGGAUAAAAGUUACUCUAGGAUAACAGGCUGAUCUCCCCCAAGAGUUCACAUCGACGGGGAGGUUUGGCACCUCGAUGUCGGCUCAUCGCAUCCUGGGGCGGUAGUACGUCCCAAGGGUUGGGCUGUUCGCCCAUGAAAGCGGUACGCGAGCUGGGUUCAGAACGUCGUGAGACAGUUCGGUCCAUAUCCGGUGUAGGCGUUAGAAUAUUGAGAGGAGCCUUCUUUAGUACGAGAGGACCGAGAAGGACAUACCUCUGGUGUACCAGUUAUCGUGCCAACGGUAAACGCUGGGUAGCUAUGUAUGGAGUGGAUAACCGCUGAAAGCAUCUAAGUGGGAAGCCCACCUCAAGAUAAGUAUUCUCAUC
RNAcentral lists this ribosomal RNA (1244 nucleotides) under metagenome. Its description in RNAcentral is "bacterial LSU rRNA". It matches the Rfam family "Bacterial large subunit ribosomal RNA", at positions 1564 to 2818 of the family's 2925-position model. The record is from RNAcentral.